Small nucleolar RNA from Cavia aperea (Brazilian guinea pig), 81 nucleotides. NCBI's taxonomy places the organism in Eukaryota, Metazoa, Chordata, Mammalia, Rodentia, Caviidae. The record is from Ensembl.
ACAGGGGUAAGAAACAAUUCUCUUUUGCAACCCAGAACUCAUUGUUUGGUAUGAAUUUUGACACAAAUAAAAAGGAAAAUU